RNAcentral lists this microRNA precursor (102 nucleotides) under Marmota monax (woodchuck). The record is from RNAcentral. Lineage: Eukaryota; Metazoa; Chordata; Mammalia; Rodentia; Sciuridae.
AGUGGAAUUGCUGGAUUUUAUGGUAACUCUGUUUAAUUUUUUUGAGGAACUGUCAAACAUUUUUCCAUAGUGGCUGCACCAUUUUAUGUUUUUAUCAGUGAU